AGGGGUAUAGCUCAGCUGGUAGAGCAGCGGUCUCCAAAACCGCGUGCCUGAGGUUCGAAUCCUCAUACCCCUGCCA
RNAcentral lists this transfer RNA (76 nucleotides) under Eubacteriaceae bacterium. RNAcentral describes it as "tRNA-Trp". It matches the Rfam family "tRNA". From Rfam's summary of the family: Transfer RNA (tRNA) molecules are approximately 80 nucleotides in length. Their secondary structure includes four short double-helical elements and three loops (D, anti-codon, and T loops). The record is from RNAcentral. Lineage: Bacteria; Bacillati; Bacillota; Clostridia; Eubacteriales; Eubacteriaceae.